GAAAGGAGGAAGUGAGAAGAAAGAAACAGGGAAAUGACAGAGUGUUGCUCAGUUACCCAGGCUGGAGUGCAAUGGCAUGAUCUUGGCUCACUGCAGCCUCCACCUCCUGGGUUCAAGCGGUUCUCGUGCCUCAGUCUCCCAAGUAGCUGGGAUUACAGACGAAAUCUUGCUCUGUUGCCCAGGCUGGAGUGCGAUGGCAUGAUCUUGGCUCACGGCAAACUCCGCCUCCCUGGUUCAAGUGAUUCUCCUGCCUCAGCCUCCCGAGUAGCUGGGAUUACAGGCAUGUGCCACCAUGCCCCGUUGGCCAGGCUGGUCUCGAACACCUUACCUCAGGUGAUCCUCCCACCUUUGGGAUUACAGGCUGAGGAAUUACCAAGGAGGCAGGAGGUGGAGCAAAACACACCAAGCCUGAUGCCAAUCAUUGACAAUAUUAUGACCCUGCAUGUGAUGGAUCAGCUGACACCAUCCAGAUUGGUAAACUGGUUCGUCUGAUCUUGUGCCCUCCACCCAGGAACUGACUCAGCGCAAGAAGACAGCUUCGACUCCUUAUGAUUUCAUCCCUAACCAAUCAGCACUCCUGGCUCACUGGCUUCCCCCAACCCACCAAAUUGUCCUUAAAAACUCUGUUCUCCAAAUGCUGGGGGAGACUGAUUUGAGUAAUAAUAAAACUCUGGUCUCCUGCA
Molecule: long non-coding RNA, 683 nt
Filed under: Pan troglodytes (chimpanzee)
Lineage: Eukaryota; Metazoa; Chordata; Mammalia; Primates; Hominidae
Description: lincRNA
Source: RNAcentral